This is a long non-coding RNA of Aplysia californica (California sea hare), 740 nucleotides long. RefSeq lists it as uncharacterized. The transcript is spliced from 2 exons. The record is from RefSeq and is a predicted model, not a curated record. NCBI's taxonomy places the organism in Eukaryota, Metazoa, Mollusca, Gastropoda, Aplysiida, Aplysiidae.
GGAAGUAAAGACACAAGAGAGCGCGUGCAGCUCCGCCUCAGAACUGCUCACCACAGUGGAGCCGCCAGCUACUAGUCAGAAAAGCGCGGGGACAGCCCGGGCAGUGAUCUAGUGGAAGUCCUCAAGUACCUCAAGAUGAAGGACGAGCGGAACGCCGUGCUGAGAGAGCAGGAGCUAGCCCUGAGACGCCGGGAGUUGGAGCUACAGCACGAGAGGGAGGACUUUGACAGGAGAGAGAGGACCGCACUACUCUCUCUGCUACAGGCGCAGCUACAGAGGGCUGCCGGAUACGUGUUUGAGUAGAUUUAGGUUGGAGUUUAGGAGAGCGUUUUACGGCACUGUACAAGUGUUGAAGAUUAUAAGCUACCGGAUACAUGUUUGAGUAGAUUUAGGUUGGAGUUUGGGCGAGGGUUUUACGGCAUUUGCGACACAAUACAGAAGGUUUUAUGAGUGCUGAAGAUUAUAAUCUACAGAGGGCCACCGGAUACGUGUUUGAGUAGAUUUAUAUUGGAGUUUGGGUCAGGGUUUUACGGCAUCUGUAAGACAAACAGAAAGAGAUAAUAUGAUGAAUGCUGAUGACUAUGCUACAGAGGACAACUAGAUACGUGUCGGAGUAAAUUUAGGCUCGAGUUUGGGUAAGAGUUUUAGGUUUGAGUCUGAGAGAAAGAUUUACAGCAGUUGCAACAUAAUUUGGUUAUCAGGUCAUAAAAGCAGUGACGAAGCGUCUAUAUAUAUAAUCA